UAACAAUGUUAACUCUACCAAAGCCGAAGGAAUUUCCAGAGAAAUUGCUUUUUAGUGUUUUUGCACCGUAUCUAUUCUAUUCUACGGGUAUCUACCGAAGAUUCACAUGAAAACGAUCAGGAAACGUAAGAAAUCAAGAAGAAAACGGAAAGAUGGCAAAAAAGGAACCCAAAUAAAAAGACUGAAAUAUAAUGAGAGAACACCUUCAAACAAGAAGUAUUAUUAAAGAAUUUGAACAAUAUAAAAAAAGACUAGUGACUCUAGUCAAAAUACGAAAAAAAAAGAACAAGGCGAAAAAGAAAAUAGACUACUUUUGUAUUUUUUGUAGAGAUAAAUAUAUUGAUCCUCCCGUUGAAGACUAAAUUGUGUGCUAUGUGUGCAAAAAAUGGGCUCACGAGAGUUGUACUGACGGACAGUCAACAUCGUUGGGUUUUAAAUGUGAUCUAUGUCGUUAAUAAUGUUGGUUCGUAAUCAACCCACUUGGUGUUCGUAUUUACCCGACUGAUGUCGGGCAAAGCCGAACACUAAGGGUUUUGUUUUUCUUUCAUAUUGUUGCAGUUUAUUAAAAAAAUAUAAAUGAUGAUUAGUGAAUAAGUUAGACAGAUAAGUAAACUUUAUAAUAAAUAAAAAAUAAAAAAUCUGUGAUUAAAUUCCAUUGUUUUAUUUAAGUUUUCCCUUAGGUGUUCGUAUAUCCCCCACUUUCCCCUACUCGUAGAACUCGACAGAGUUCAACGUUGAGUUUCUCGCCGGAUCUUCUCAGUGGGUCGCGAUUCCGAUCCGGUAGUAGAUUCAUUCGCCAAGCAGCUGCUGUUAGGUCUCCUUUGGAGGCUCUCGGGUAGCUGUUAGCAAAUCCCACUGCUCCUGGCUGAGCCUUUGCUCGCUCAUCUGGCCUAGUGAAACUGGAAAGGCCUUCGGGCCACCAGUGAUAAUUCAAUCAUAAAAAAAACUAUCUAUAAGUAGCACAGCAACUAUAUAUAAUACUUAAAUGUUUUUUUUUCUUGAUUCUUGGGUUGACUUAAAAAAGUCAGUUUCAUUCUGAUGAACAAAAAUAUAAUCACCGUUCGUAGCUAACCUUCGUGUAGUAUAAUAUCAGUAGAUAUUCUUAUCUGUCCUCUUUAUGACGCAUCAUAACUAUGUUCACUAUCUAAAUUUAGAUACGUAUGAACGUAUUUUAAUAAGUGAAAACUAAAAUCACGCCAGUAUGCCUAAGUAAACGGGUUAAAUAAGAGUGCUACCAACAAUCCUGUAUUUAAUAGUAUAUUACUUCAAACAGUGUAAUGUGCACAAUCGUGGGAAAAUACCUUAAAGGCCAGUUUGACGCAAAUAGUAAAAUUUUAUCAAGACUUGAUACGGAUUUACAAAGCUGUACCACUCAGCUAACGGCGUUAAAGCUACUUGUGUCAUCGCUUCAGAUACGAAUGUCAGCGAUGCAGACCAUGUACAGAGACACAAUGGAACUUAGAAAACUAAUUGUCGUAAUACAUCCACAUCUUCGGAAGGCAAGGUAGCGAAUUGAACACAGACAUGUAUUAUUCGUCUCUAAAUUUAAAAGUUGUUAUAAAAUAGUCGAAGGAUCUGGGCUGAACAUAACGGUGAAUUGAUGCGAAUGGUCUCAUCAAAUUUCGAAAAGUUGACAACGUAACCUUGCCUCUCUCUGUGAUAAUCAAUGACUUGAACAAACCGAUGUCCCCACAAGAUUUCCCUUGCAAUGUAACUCGAUUUAGCUUGCACUGGCUGACCUGUGGAUUCUAUAACACCUUCAAAAACUACAACUACUUCAAGCCUCGAUUUCAAGAUGUCAUUAGCCGAUAACGUGAAAAACGGACUAUUUUCAUCGAUGACAUGCACAACAGAAAUAGGAAAUAUAAAGGGCACAUUUUCAGCUGAAUUAACUGAUAAGCUCAGUUUUAAUAAUAAUUGUUCAUUCAAUAAAUCGCCGGAGUUGACGCAUCGUAUAAGGUAGGCGUGGACUCUAAUGUCAAUGAUCCUAGAUUUUCUUGUAUUCCCAACGCGGAAUAUCAAGCACAAGUCGCAAUCUCUCUGAUUGAUAAUGGCAUGCUUAGAGAAUAUUAGAGUUUUCGCUCGACUUUUCGGUCUUGUUAAUUUCGCAAAUACGAUACCCACUAUGAACGACUGGGUUAUUGUUCCAAUAAUGCUUUCAAGGCACAUAGCUAGCCACGCUGAUGGACAUUCUAGAGUAAUAGUCCUGCUUCCGUAGCCGAUGGUCGUGUGAAUUUCUAUGCUGAAGAGGAAAAUCGAAGUAAACCCAUAAAUUUCGCUUACGCAUGGCUUCCAUUCUGUAGAGAUAUUUGCGUGAGGCAUGUGGUUCUCUGUUAAAUCCCCGUGCGAAUACAAGAUAACCCACCACACCAUUGUGAAGAAGAGCCAUAUAAAAACAUAAGUGAGAAUGCAGUACACCAAGGUCCACCUCCAACGCGCAUCUAUAAAAGCAGUCACUACAUCUGGAAUCACAUGAUAUUUGGAUUUCUUUGAUUUCUCUAGGUUCACGUGACCCGAUUUAAAAAUCACUCGCUUUAAUACUUUCCUGUGAGUCGAAUUUCUUUGGCAGCAUCUGAAAAAUAGUAUUUUUUAUUUAUUAAAGAUAUAGUUAUUUUUUUAUAAAAUAAUUUGUAAUAAUUCCAUAUUUGACUUUUUUUAAGUUCUUUAAAACUUUGCUAUCUAACUUACUUGUGUAAAUGCGUUCUUUUGUUGGAACUAUUAACUGUCGAUUUUUCUACGUCGCCGUCGUCAAUUUUUGUGACGAGAUUCACAUUUUCGUCGUAACGCAUUUUGAGCAACAAAUUUUUGCAAUAAACAAUUUUAUAAUAACUAAA
Molecule: long non-coding RNA, 2834 nt
Organism: Bombyx mori (domestic silkworm)
Lineage: Eukaryota; Metazoa; Arthropoda; Insecta; Lepidoptera; Bombycidae
Exons: 2
Source: RefSeq, a predicted model, not a curated record